GGCGCGCCUAAUACAUGCAAGUCGAGCGAGAAGACGUAGCAAUACGUUUGUAAAGCGGCGAACGGGUGAGGAAUACAUGGGUAACCUACCCUCGAGUGGGGAAUAACUAGCCGAAAGGUUAGCUAAUACCGCAUACGACUCCUGGUCUGCGGAUCGGGAGAGAAAGCGAUACCGUGGGUAUCGCGCUCCUGGAUGGGCUCAUGUCCUAUCAGCUUGUUGGUGAGGUAACGGCUCACCAAGGCUUCGACGGGUAGCUGGUCUGAGAGGACGAUCAGCCACACUGGCACUGCGACACGGGCCAGACUCCUACGGGAGGCAGCAGUAAGGAAUAUUGCGCAAUGGGCGACAGCCUGACGCAGCGACGCCGCGUGGGGGAUGAAGGUCUUCGGAUUGUAAACCCCUUUCGGCAGGGAAGAUGGAACGGGUAACCGUUCGGACGGUACCUGCAGAAGCAGCCACGGCUAACUUCGUGCCAGCAGCCGCGGUAAUACGAAGGUGGCAAGCGUUGUUCGGAUUUACUGGGCGUACAGGGAGCGUAGGCGGUUGGGUAAGCCCUUCGUGAAAUCUCCGGGCCUAACCCGGAAAGUGCGGAGGGGACUGCUCGGCUAGAGGAUGGGAGAGGAGCGCGGAAUUCCCGGUGUAGCGGUGAAAUGCGUAGAGAUCGGGAGGAAGGCCGGUGGCG
Molecule: ribosomal RNA, 682 nt
Filed under: uncultured bacterium
Lineage: Bacteria
Description: bacterial SSU rRNA
Rfam family: Bacterial small subunit ribosomal RNA
Source: RNAcentral